GAAUAUGUUUUGGGCGUUGUGGAGAAGGUCAGGUGUACCGUGGACGCUUCCAUUCAGGAACUUGUCGACAUCACCCUCCAAAGGUACUGUCUUUUCCCUCUCCCAAUCCUGCCCUGCUUGAAUUCUUUGGUCUCUGUACUUGCUGAAAUGAUGUCUGAUAUGGCACCACAGUCCACAGGUAGGAAGGGCCUCUGUAGCUGCCGCACCACCUAUUCCACAAGUUCCACAGCGAAGUUGAGUUGCCGGUGUUUUGCUGCUAAGCCCUGGACGACCAGGACUUCCUCCAUAUGGACCGCCAUCACCAUCAAGAUGCUCAAAUUAGUGGAGGAGCGGAGGUACACCAAGAGGCACAGCCAGAGUCAAAUAAGUGCUCUUUUAGAGGAGACAUGGCAGCGCCUGCAUGAUCGGGGCCUGACCUACUUCAGAUGGUGAACCAACUCUUAUCAUGAUGAUCCUUAUGCAAAAGAGUUUAGCAUCAAGAUCAGUGAGUGGCUGACGUUGGUCAAUGCACGGGUUUUACGUGCUCCCCGGCUUAAGUACAACAAGAACGGUCGAGAGAAGGAUUGCUUGCCUAGAGUUGGCCAGUGGAAUAUGAUGAACAAGAAACUGUUCAAUGGUGGUACAGUCAGGAGCUGGAUGUGUGCCAAUUUUGCCUGAAACAUGCAGGACAACGUUGCCACUGGGUUCUGCAGUGAACUCGCUUGCAUGUGCCAGGCCCCAGGAAUGGCAAAUAUCCCUAAAAUGCUUCAUUGUACUUGUUGUUCACAACAGUAACACUAUCAAUUAUAGGACUUGUAGCCUGUUAAGCCAGGUUCAAUUAUAGGACAUUGAUUUGUGUGCACUACUAGAUUGAAUGUUCAAGCCAAAUGGAUGCUCAUACCCUUGUGGUGUCUCAGGUGACUUGAAGCGCGUCUGAGAGAUUGACCUUGGGCUGAUCUCGCAGUGCUGUUUGGCCAAUUAUUUAAGAUGAACAAACAGAUCCUGGCAAACCUUGCUCUGAAGAUAAAUGUCAAGGUUGCAUUUUCUUCAG
Molecule: long non-coding RNA, 1030 nt
Organism: Lolium rigidum
Lineage: Eukaryota; Viridiplantae; Streptophyta; Magnoliopsida; Poales; Poaceae
Exons: 4
Source: RefSeq, a predicted model, not a curated record